This is a long non-coding RNA of Sinocyclocheilus rhinocerous, 613 nucleotides long. RefSeq lists it as uncharacterized. The transcript has 4 exons. Lineage: Eukaryota; Metazoa; Chordata; Actinopteri; Cypriniformes; Cyprinidae. The record is from RefSeq and is a predicted model, not a curated record.
CAGAACCAGAAGUACAGAAUGACUCUUGCAUCAGGGAGUUAUGAAUGCAGCAGGACUGGUCUCCGUAUUGAAUGCUCUCGUGACAUUCAGCUUGAGUAUCACAUUUGUGACUGGGAGUGUGUAGGUGAUUUUCCAGAAAUGGAGCAUUUUACACCGUGUGGCCCCUUGAUGGAUAUUGCCGUCAUCUCUGGAGAACUGAAGGCAGUCUAUCUACCCCACUUUCUGUGUUUAGGUGGAUUUCUCAUUAAAGAUGAAGUGAGAAUUCUUCAUUUUGAAGACAGUGGAAUUGCAUUUGAGAAAUGCAAGUUAACUAGAUUCCAUGCCAAACUUCUGGACCACACCUUUUCCCCUAAAGGUGUUUUUUUGAGGAGUGGCUUCUCUGUGAAUUAUCAUUGUGAAACACUUAUCUAUCAAACUUUGAAAUCACACCUGACACUUCAUGUGUACUUGAUUCCAAGUGAUAAAAAAAUGAUAGAGGCUGUUCAAGAAAAUGAGGCUGAUAGCAAGGCUAUCACAAAGCCAGGACCGGAAUCUUCACUACAGACGAAAACUUGGUUUUCACUGAGGACACUGGAGAAAAUGAGGAAAUCUGACUCUAAUUCUGAAGUCAUAC